RNAcentral lists this unclassified non-coding RNA (233 nucleotides) under Hevea brasiliensis (rubber tree). The record is from RNAcentral. Lineage: Eukaryota; Viridiplantae; Streptophyta; Magnoliopsida; Malpighiales; Euphorbiaceae.
AGAGAGAGAGAGAGGGGGGGAGAGAUAUGACUCUUGAUAGUUUAUGUAAAUACCAUAAAGAUUGAAGAAACACUAUAUUACAAACAGGAAGCACUGACGUAUCACAAGGAGGAUAAACUCGCUUGGUUCGUUUUGGAAUUCUCCAAAGCCUUUCAAUGUGAGACUGUGUCCAAGAAGAGUUAACCAUUGCAAGGUCAGCACAAGAGCCUGCAAACCCAUACAUCCAACUAAAG